This 478-nucleotide ribosomal RNA is filed under the name uncultured bacterium. RNAcentral's name for it is "partial 16S ribosomal RNA". It matches the Rfam family "Bacterial small subunit ribosomal RNA", at positions 28 to 523 of the family's 1533-position model. The record is from RNAcentral.
GACGAACGCUGGCGGCGUGCUUAACACAUGCAAGUCGAACGGUAAGGCCCUUCGGGGUACACGAGUGGCGAACGGGUGAGUAACACGUGGGUGAUCUGCCCUGCACUUCGGGCUAAGCCUGGGAAACUGGGUCUAAUACCGGAUAGGACCCUGGGAUGCAUGUCCUGGGGUGGACAGCUUUUGCGGUGUGGGAUGGGCCCGCGGCCUAUCAGCUUGUUGGUGGGGUGAUGGCCUACCAAGGCGACGACGGGUAGCCGGACUGAGAGGGUGACCGGCAACACUGGGACUGAGAUACGGCCCAGACUCCUACGGGAGGCAGCAGUGGGGAAUAUUGCACAAUGGGCGCAAGCCUGAUGCAGCGACGCCGCGUGAGGGAUGACGGCCUUCGGGUUGUAAACCUCUUUCAGCACCGACGAAGCGCAAGUGACGGUAGGUGCAGAAGAAGGACCGACCAACUACGUGCCAGCAGCCGCCGUAA